CGUGAAUGGCUGGUAUGGUUACACACAACAUUGUUCUUGUUAUGUCUCUCUAAUCUCAAACGUUAAUUGUCUGACUUUGUGUGUUUUGUUAUGAAUUCAGAUAGAGAUUAACUACUUGGGGCAGUUAAGCCACCAAAACUUAGUUAAACUGAUUGGUUACUGCUUGGAAGAUGAGCAAAGGCUACUUGUAUAUGAGUUUAUGCACAAGGGUUGUCUUGAGGAUCAUCUUUUCACAAAUGGUGUGAAGUGUAGGCCGCUCUCUUGGACCUUACGGGUUAAGGUUGCGCUUGAUGCAGCUAAAGGUCUCGCCUUUCUUCAUAGUGACCCUGUUAAAGUCAUAUACCGAGACAUAAAAGCCUCCAAACAUCUUGCUGGACUCGGUAUACAAACGCUCUUUCGAAUAAAAACUGUUAAAUUAAGUGUUAAAUUAGUUUAGAUGGCUAACAAAAUAUGUUUCUAGUCUAUAAAUUAGUUUAUCCGGCUAACAAAAUAUGUUUCUAGUCUAUAAAUUAGUUUAGCCGGCUAAUAAACAUAUGUUUUUGUAUUCAUUUUCUUUGAUUUAUUUUGGGUAAAGUUCACUUAAAUAUUCAUAUUGUUGAUAUGUAAGUAAACUCAGUUAAAAUGUGAUUAUAUUAUAUACUUUGUAAA
Molecule: long non-coding RNA, 648 nt
Organism: Brassica napus (rape)
Lineage: Eukaryota; Viridiplantae; Streptophyta; Magnoliopsida; Brassicales; Brassicaceae
Exons: 2
Source: RefSeq, a predicted model, not a curated record